Lynx canadensis (Canada lynx) is the source of this 72-nucleotide long non-coding RNA. RefSeq lists it as uncharacterized. The transcript has 3 exons. The record is from RefSeq and is a predicted model, not a curated record. NCBI's taxonomy places the organism in Eukaryota, Metazoa, Chordata, Mammalia, Carnivora, Felidae.
GGUUUGAACCUGUGCUGAAGGCUUUCCCACACUUAUCACAUUCAUAAGGCUUUUCUCCUGUGUGACUUCUCA